Arachis ipaensis is the source of this 1021-nucleotide non-coding RNA. NCBI's taxonomy places the organism in Eukaryota, Viridiplantae, Streptophyta, Magnoliopsida, Fabales, Fabaceae. The record is from RefSeq and is a predicted model, not a curated record.
AUUAAUAAAAAUUGUUAAAUAAACUCCUAUAAUCAAUUAGUAAUAGGUUGUUUGUCUGACGUGUCAAAUAUGUGACAGGUGUCAAUUCCAAAUGGUUAUAGGAACUAAAAAUUCUCUCUAUACGAAAAAAAAGCCCUUCUCUUUUUUCUUUUUUUUUCGUCCUUUUCUUCUCCUUUCUCUUCGCUAGUCACCAUCAUUUCCAUCACCAUCAUUAUCGAGCUUCACCUUUACAACUAUCACUACGGCACCAUCAUAGUCGAACCAACUUCUCUUUUCUUCUUCUUCUCUUUUUCUUCCCCCAUCGCGCCAUCUCAAAAACCACCAUCUUCAUCCUCUAUUUUGCCACCAACAGUCACCACCAUCGUAGUUCCCUCUUCCUCCUCCUCUUCUUCUCCUUCUCGUCCUUACCCAACCUCCCUCAAUAGCUCACCCCAAAUCUUUUCGGCACCACCAAGGUCCUCAUCAUCCUUCGCGUUGCCGGAGUUAUUUGUCCGUGCCUCAUCCUUCACAAGCGUUACAAGAGUUCCCAUGUGGCAUCUGGAGAGGCAUUCAAGCUCGUCGGUGAGAUGAAGAUGAGGAUGAGAAAAGGGGCCCACGGAUGCAUGAGUUUCUUGGCACAAAAAGUCUUCCAAAGCCCGUGACCGACCGCAUCUGAUCCAACUCACCCAUGUACGGACAAAAUAUUUAGCGCUGUACUUUUCUUUCAUUAGAUUAACAUUUUGGGUAUCCAUUUUAUUUGACCAACUUAGGUUGAUAUCAGCGAGAAUAAAUUUGUAUUGCUAGUUUUGGAUUUAAGUACUUAGGAGACUCGCUAUUUGUUAUAGUCAGAUAGGAGCAAAUAUAAACGGUAUAACAACUUAACAAGAUAGGAGAUAAAAGAAUAAAAUUAGAGAGACUAAACUAUAAAUAUAGAGAACUUUUAUAUGUAAAAUUUAUCAAUUUAGGAAGGUCAUUGCUCUCUUUAUAUACACUAAGAGUCUAAAACUCUGCUCCUGGAUGUAUGAGUGAGAUCAAAUUUGGA